CGUUAAAAGAAAGAAAAAAAUAUUUAUCUUCCCACUCAUCCUCCUGUACAAACGAGCGACAAGUCGCUCCGGCUUUAUUUACAUAUUGUUAGCAUUUGAUAGUUAUAUUUAAAGCUAUGUUAAUCCUAUAAUCUUCUAUCAUCAGUGCCGGCGAGUUACUGCUACUGUUACUCUUAGCUGAAUGAGUGUUACAGGUAAACAAUUUAGCUAGAAAAAGAAAAGAAAAAAAGUAUCAUCAUUCGGAUAGGGAAGUUCCCGUUUCGGUAGUGAAUGUCAGUCACGUGGUUUUGUUUGUCGAUUUCAAGGUCAAGAUGGCGGCGGCGGCUGCAGCAGCUGGUGCUAGUGUCUCGCGUUCGGGUCUCUACGAAGUCUAUUUCCGACAACAAUGGUGUUUGGUUUAUGUGUCUCUUACCGAAGAAUCCUUGGUGCUUACCUUGGACGAAAACCCAGACGCUUCAUCCAUUGCCAACGGUGUCAGCAAUGGCGUUUCGGACGUCAACGAGAAAGACACUAGCGGGGCACCGCUGAUGCUCCGUAAUGUCUGCGGUGGACCCUCUCAUUUACCGGAUGGCAUUACUGGACAGAAACGAAUUGUUCGUGUGAUCAAAGAAGAAGCAAACGGGCUGGGUAUUAGCAUAAAAGGUGGGAAGGAAAACAAAAUGCCUAUUUUAAUUAGUAAGAUUUUUAAGAGUAUGGCUGCUGACAAAACGGAGAAAUUGUACGUCGGUGAUGCUAUAAUAUCUGUGAAUGGAGAAGAUUUACGGGAUGCUACACACGACGAAGCUGUCAAAGCAUUGAAAAAGGCCGGUAAAGAAGUCACGCUGGAAGUGAAAUAUCUUCGAGAAGUUACACCAUAUUUUAAAAAGAAUUCUGCUCUAAGUGAAAUUGGCUGGGGCCCUCAAGAAAUCAAAGAUGAUUCUAAAUCAAAUUGGACUGAGUCAAAGCCAAUCCCUUUGAAACUAUGCUAUCUAUGUAGAAAUCAUGAAAUGUCUGAUCCUGAAAAAUUAACAAUUGAACUUCAUUCUCCUGACACAAAGAGUUCCUGUAUUCUUCGUUUUCCUGAUAUUGUCACUGCUCAGGAUUGGUUCAAUGCAAUUUAUUCCAAUAUAGUGUUACUAACAGCCCUGACAAUCAUAGAGGCCAACCAGGUUAUGAGCACUGCACCAAAUCAGAGAGAAAUAAAGCAUAUGGGAUGGUUAUCUGAACAGCUUUUAAAUGAUCAAGGUGCUUCUACUUGGAAACCUGUCUUUGUUGCUUUGACUGAUCAAGAUAUGCUACUCUAUGACACUGCUCCUUGGAGUAAAGAAGAAUGGGCAACACCAUUUCAGAGUCAUUCAUUACUUGCUACUAGACUUGUCCAUUCUGGUCGACAAUACAAUCCAACAACUGAUUCUGACAUUCUCACAUUUGGAACACGUUCAGGAACGCGGCAAGGUAUUGACACACACAUCUUUCGAGUUGAAACACAAAGAGACCUUGCAAGUUGGUCUCGUGCCUUAGUGCAGGGGGCACAUGGUGCUGCUGUGCUUGUUAAAGAAGUUAUAUGUGCUGCUACUUGGAGCAGACAGGAAACUAAGCUGCUGAUUCAUUAUGAAAAUGGUUUGACACUAUUAAAAGAUGAUGAAUUGUCUCAAAAUCAUAUAUUUUGGCAAUAUCCAUUUGAGAAACUUCGGAUGACUGCUGAUGAUGGACACCGCCUGUUAUGGUUAGAUUUUGGUGAAGGAGAGCAUGAGCUUGACCUGCGUACUUGUCCCAAACCUAUUGUGUUUGUUCUUCACACUUUCCUCUCUGCCAAAGUUAGUCGUCUAGGUUUGCUAGCAUAGAACUGCUGCUACUAACUUGGAAAUAAGAGCUGUUUUAUCGAUCACUUCAAUGAUUUUGAGAAUUGCUCUUAUUAUUGAACACUUCACUAGAUGAAUUCUGUGGUUAUCGAUACCAUCACCAAGCUGACAUUAAUUUAUUUACUCUGCAAAUGAAAAUUAGUGAUGAUGGAAUUUUCAGAAUUUUAUCUUUUUUUUUUAAACUUGGCUGAAUUUAACUACAACUUGUAGAUUGUCAAAUAAGGUUACUGUGUCAAUCCUGAUGACAAUCGUUUGCUUUAAGAUGAGAAAGAAAAACUGCUAAAAUCAAAAUAGUUGAAUUGAGUAAAUCUCAGAUGCUGCCAUCCUGUUCAUGUUAUCACCAUCAACUUCAUUAAUUGUAACAUUAAUAUCCAAGACUUUUGCAAGAAUUUAAUUCAUAAUGAUUUGCAUAUUACUUACUCAGUAUAUACAGGGGAAAUGUUAUUCUUUGUAUAGAUGUGUUUGUUGCUGAGAAACUGAUCUGAAAUUUUGUUUUUGUUGAUAAAACUAAUUUUUCUCCUGUAACUAUUUGAACUUCAAGUUUUCACAAUUUCUUUGUAAUUUGGAUUUUGAGCUUCCUAUUCUAGGUUGAUCAACUCACCAUCAAAUUCUCAUCAGAAAUCAGUUUUUAAUUAGGAGGUGUAAUAAAUAAACCUUUCACAUUAGGUUGGCACAAAUACAUAAAGCAGUCUCCAUCUUUUAAUAGGGUUUUAACAGGUAAAGCUGCUUUAUUAAUCAAAGCUUAAUAUCAAGUCAUGGCAGCAGUACUUUACCUCAAUUCUCUAAGUUAAGUCUGAUAAUGUUUUUGGCACCAAACUCUAGAUAAUUUUUAUUUGGCUAUUCCUUCAGGACUCAAUGUAAAUCCUUGACUUGGCUGUCCCACUCACAGAGAAAUCAUGGGUUUUUAUGAACCAUAAAUGCUGACUCAAUACUUUCUGGUACACAUGUAAUGAGUUGGUGGCAUUAAUAAUAGUUGAUUUGUUAAAUUCUGGUAUGUUUCUUUAAAGUGUAAUGAAUUAGGAACUGGUAUUGAUGCAUAUUUAUUAUCAUUUGGAGGAAGUACUCCUUUUAGGUUUCUUUUAGAUGUAUCUAUAAAUAACCUCCAUUCUUCUGCUUUAUAAUCUCUGUAAGUUUUCUGUAUUAGGUUACUUAUACAAUAAAUCAAUUAUUAAUAUUUCUUGAAAUACGGUGCAAACUCUUUUCAUUUUGUAUCAAGGUGAAGUUGUGCCAGGAUGUAAUAUGUUUUUAUUUUUUGAUUGGGACCUGAAAAUCCCAACAGUAUCUUUGAGUGGUUUGAGGUCUCUUACUAAAUGUUUAUUCUGAGAGAAUAUUUCUGUGGAUAAUUGCUUGAACAUGGGACAAUUUAUUUUUGUUGCUGACUGCAUCAUUUUCUUUCUUUAAGAGAUUUUCUACAUAUGUGAAGCUGUCAGAUAAAGAUAAAGUAGAUCAGGCCCAUAUAGCACUAGUUUUGUGGCUGAUGAAAGAUUAGGAUAAACAAUUUUUUUUCUGAUUCCUUUUGAUGUAUCCUUGAAAUUUUCAGGAGCAAAAAUAAUCAAUAGUGACUUUUUUUGUUUGUUUAUUCUCUGUCACUGGGAUACCGUAAUAAAAAACUUACUUUUUUAUCUUCUGUCUUAGUUACCCAACACAAUAUGAGCAGACACACUUUUUGCCCUGUUCAUGAAGUUUUAUUCCAAAGUAGGUUUGUUCUUUUUUUGUAAAAAAAAAAAAAAUGAAUGGUUUAGUUCUACCUCUAUUUUUUUCCAUCACAAAUUUUUGAUGAAUAUAACAAAGAUUAAUGCUAACAUAAUCUCUAGAUGCUAUGAUAACUGUAUAAAACUUAAAUUUGUAAAGAAAAAUUAACUUCAGUAUUCGCAAAUAUUUCACUUAUGAAGAAAAUACCAAUUUCAGGCAUAAUUAGUAUCGUAAUAAAAUAUGCAUAUAUAAAUAAUUAUUUACUUGCAGAAAUUUUAUCAUCCUUGUGCACAUAUAUUGAUAUAUGCAAAAUGAUGG
This 3851-nucleotide unclassified non-coding RNA is filed under the name Octopus sinensis (East Asian common octopus). RNAcentral's name for it is "beta-1-syntrophin-like, transcript variant X2". Lineage: Eukaryota; Metazoa; Mollusca; Cephalopoda; Octopoda; Octopodidae. The record is from RNAcentral.